Oncorhynchus keta (chum salmon) is the source of this 1770-nucleotide long non-coding RNA. RefSeq lists it as uncharacterized. The transcript has 3 exons. Lineage: Eukaryota; Metazoa; Chordata; Actinopteri; Salmoniformes; Salmonidae. The record is from RefSeq and is a predicted model, not a curated record.
GAGGAAAGGAAAGGGGGGGUUAGUGUGGGAGAGAGAGCGAGGGAAAGAGCAGGGAGGAGUAGAGAGCACAGCCCACAGGUGCGCUCUAAGAGCUUUGCCUCGAGUCACUCACAUCCAAGGAACAAUGAGAAUAUUAACUUUGAGGCCUUUAAGAUGGCACACACACACACACACACACACACACACACACACACACACACACACACACACACACACACACACACAGAAACACACACAGAAACACACACACACACAGAAGCACACACACAGACAGACAGACAGACACACAGACAGACACACAGACAGACAGACACACAGACAGACAGACAGACACAUAAUAGCGGCCUCCUCACCUUUUAUGCCUCUUUCCUAAGUCUUUUCUCUUCAUUCUCCUAAGUCUUUUCUCUUCAUUCUCUUCUCUUCAUUUGAGGAAUGUUUUUUUUUAAAUCAAAUGUAAAUACUAACUCUGUCCCUAAUAGCUCGGUGGAUUUACAAUCAAUUCCCCUCGGCCUUCCAUUGGCUGACUUCAAAGCGAACGGCCCAUGAUCAGCCCGUCAUUUUAUGGAAGAAAUGUUUCCCCUCCCUAGUGUUGUCUUUUUCCCCCCACUAGUUCUUAAUGAGGUCUGGAACUGCAUCCAAAAUGGCACCCUAUUCCCUAUAUCAAGGCACUCCAACCCCUAGGUUUUCAAUCCAACCCUGCUCCCGGAGAGCUACCGUCCUGUAGGUUUUCACUCCAACCCUGUUCCCGGAGAGCUACCGUCCUGUAGGUUUUCACUCCAACCCUGUUCCCGGAGAGCUACCGUCCUGUAGGUUUUCACUCCAACCCUGCUCCCGGAGAGCUACCGUCCUGUAGGUUUUCACUCCAACCCUGUUCCCGGAGAGCUACCGUCCUGUAGGUUUUCACUCCAACCCUGCUCCCGGAGAGUUACCGGCCUGUAGGUUUUCACUCCAACCCUGUUCCCGGAGAGCUACCGUCCUGUAGGUUUUCACUCCAACCCUGUUCCCGGAGAGCUACCGUCCUGUAGGUUUUCACUCCAACCCUGCUCCCGGAGAGCUACCGUCCUGUAGGUUUUCACUCCAACCCUGUUCCCGGAGAGCUACCGUCCUGUAGGUUUUCACUCCAACCCUGUUCCCGGAGAGCUACCGUCCUGUAGGUUUUCACUCCAACCCUGUUCCCGGAGAGCUACCGUCCUGUAGGUUUUCACUCCAACCCUGUUCCCGGAGAGCUACCGUCCUGUAGGUUUUCACUCCAACCCUGUUCCCGGAGAGCUACCGUCCUGUAGGUUUUCACUCCAACCCUGUUCCCGGAGAGCUACCGUCCUGUAGGUUUUCACUCCAACCCUGCUCCCGGAGAGCUACCGUCCUGUAGGUUUUCACUCCAACCCUGUUCCCGGAGAGCUACCGUCCUGUAGGUUUUCACUCCACCUUCCCGGAGAGCUAAGGACCCAAUGGACCCUAGUAAAAAGUAGUGAAAAGGGUGCCAUUUCAGUCGCAGCCUAGAUGCUGAGUUAAUAGCAGGCCUCUAGUAUAGCAGAGCAGCCUGAGGACGCCAGACCAGACUGUGAAUGCAUCCAAAAUGGCACACUUUCCCCAAUAUAGUGCACUACUUCUGACCAGGGCUCUGCUCAGAAGUAGUGCACUAUGUAGGGAAUAGGGUGUCAUUUGGGAUGCAGUUUAAGAUACUUAACAUAACUGUACAGUUUUCUCUGCUCUGCUUUGGCUCUGGUUCCUCUGAAGGGGUUGCUGCCCAAAUGACUGGGUACACUCUGC